UUUAGAGGAAGUAAAAGUCGUAACAAGGUUUCCGUAGGUGAACCUGCGGAAGGAUCAUUAUUGAGUUUAAAGGAUGUGCUGGCUUUAUUGCAUGUGCACUCUAACCAAUAUCCACCUUUGUGCACAAUCUGUAGACAAAUUUAUUUGUCUAUGUACCUUUACAAACAACCAUUGAUGUAUUUGAAUGCUUUAUUAUAUUAAAACAACUUUCAACAAUGGAUCUCUUGGUUCUCGCAUCGAUGAAGAACGCAGCGAAUUGCGAUAUGUAAUGUGAAUUGCAGAAUUCAGUGAAUCAUCGAAUCUUUGAACGCACAUUGCACCCUCUGGUAUUCCAGAGGGUAUGCCUGUUUGAGUGUCAUUAAUCUCUCAACACAGACAGAUUCUGUCUGUUGUUUGGAUCUUGAAGGCUUGCUGGCGUUGUCAGCUCCUUUUAAAUGAAUUAGCAGAAAUCAUGCAGAACUGGCCUCAGUUUGAUAAAGUCUUAUCUGUUGUUGCUGUCGCCAGGAUAACGCUAGUUUUUUCAGCUUCUAAUAGUCCUUCUGGGACUGUCUCCUUCGAGGCAUACACUUUGACACUUGACCUCAAAUCAGGUAGGACUACCCGCUGAACUUAAGCAUAUCAAUAA
This 625-nucleotide ribosomal RNA is filed under the name Clavaria falcata. Its description in RNAcentral is "eukaryotic LSU rRNA". The stretch from base 205 to 358 matches the Rfam family "5.8S ribosomal RNA". Lineage: Eukaryota; Fungi; Basidiomycota; Agaricomycetes; Agaricales; Clavariaceae. The record is from RNAcentral.